This is a long non-coding RNA of Amphiprion ocellaris (clown anemonefish), 1075 nucleotides long. RefSeq lists it as uncharacterized. The transcript is spliced from 4 exons. The record is from RefSeq and is a predicted model, not a curated record. NCBI's taxonomy places the organism in Eukaryota, Metazoa, Chordata, Actinopteri, Pomacentridae.
UGGAUAUAAUUUUUUUUCAUUAGUUUUCAUGGUCAAAAUGAGAGAUCAGGUGGCCGAUCUUAAAAUAAAUCAAUAUUGAUUUUUUUAUGGAGCGUUAAAGUUUUGCGAAGCCAGGGGGCGGGACUACUUGAUUGACAGUCUGGUCUGGAAUGAUUGACAGGUCCUAUGGAGGAGGCAGCAGAGACUCUGCUCUCCUCGUUUGGAUUAAUUCUGAUAUAAUAACUGUUGGUUUAUUUAUCGGUGGAGCAGCAGAACAUUUUCCACAGACAGUUUUCCUGCCCGUCGGCUUGUUUUAACCAGUUUUCUACCUUCGGCUGAUUCUACCAGCAGACACUGAAAAGACUCUUAUAGUUCAGUGUCUCUUGUUCACUGUGAGGAUCUUCUGAGUGAAGCCAACAGAAGGAAAACCUCAUCUGGUUGUGAAGAAGGAGACUGAAUGGACGACAUCCUCAGUGAACCACUUCCUGUUUAACUUUCACUUACAGAAGAGUGAAAGUAGCAGUUCCUCCUGAAGGUCAGAGAUUGCAGCAUCUGAGGGCCUCUUCAAAAGAAGAUGUAGUUGAUGAAGGCGUUCUGGAGCAGGACCAGAAAGACCACGACCAAGCAGCCUUGAGAUCUUAGACAGCGUCUCCCUCAGGUCCCUCUCUAUCUCCCCACACAUCCACCAACCACUGGAACACAUCUCCAAAGUUCUGCUGGACCAGCUCAGCUUCCCCUCAGAAGAAGUGCUGCCACCUGCCAGAUGAAGGAGCCUUUUGAGAGGCAGCUGGCAUCGUGAUUGGACUGUACUUUGGUCUGUUCCAAUCCAGCUUCAGUUCCAGAGACGGCAGGCGGGACGAGUCAACGGAGGCCUGGUGGACGAAGACAUGCAGCUGAGUACAAUCCAGAAAACAACAGAGGAGGAGGAAACAAACGUAGUAGUAUAGUAGAAAAUAUACAUCGUAGAUUGUAUAAAUAACAAGUCAAAGGAAAGAGACAUACACUGUAGAAUUGUAGUAAUUGUGGGCUGAUUGAUUUACUGAUUAUUGGUAUUUGAUUUUUUACUGGUAAUAAAUACAUUUACUUUGGCUCUGAA